CCACAAGGAUGUCUGCACAGCAGUG
Molecule: unclassified non-coding RNA, 25 nt
Filed under: Mus musculus (house mouse)
Lineage: Eukaryota; Metazoa; Chordata; Mammalia; Rodentia; Muridae
Description: oocyte_clustered_small_RNA5498
Source: RNAcentral